This 301-nucleotide ribosomal RNA is filed under the name uncultured bacterium. RNAcentral's name for it is "partial 16S ribosomal RNA". It matches the Rfam family "Bacterial small subunit ribosomal RNA", at positions 509 to 807 of the family's 1533-position model. The record is from RNAcentral.
CAGCAUCCGCGGUAAUACAGAGGGUGCGAGCGUUAAUCGGAUUUACUGGGCGUAAAGCGUGCGUAGGCGGCUUCUUAAGUCGGAUGUGAAAUCCCUGAGCUUAACUUAGGAAUUGCAUUCGAUACUGGGAAGCUAGAGUAUGGGAGAGGAUGGUAGAAUUCCAGGUGUAGCGGUGAAAUGCGUAGAGAUCUGGAGGAAUACCGAUGGCGAAGGCAGCCAUCUGGCCUAAUACUGACGCUGAGGUACGAAAGCAUGGGGAGCAAACAGGAUUAGAGACCCGUGUAGUCCCUGUCUCUUAUAC